Non-coding RNA from Podarcis lilfordi (Lilford's wall lizard), 65 nucleotides. The record is from the annotation of a GenBank genome assembly. NCBI's taxonomy places the organism in Eukaryota, Metazoa, Chordata, Lepidosauria, Squamata, Lacertidae.
GGGCCAUAGCUCAGAGGUAGAGCAUCUUGUUUGCAUGGUCACAGGUUCAAUCCCUGGCAUCUCCA